GUUGUGCCCUUGAGGCGUGGCUUCCGGAGCUAACGCGUUAAAUCGACCGCCUGGGGAGUACGGCCGCAAGGUUAAAACUCAAAUGAAUUGACGGGGGCCCGCACAAGCGGUGGAGCAUGUGGUUUAAUUCGAUGCAACGCGAAGAACCUUACCUGGUCUUGACAUCCACAGAACUUUCCAGAGAUGGAUUGGUGCCUUCGGGAACUGUGAGACAGGUGCUGCAUGGCUGUCGUCAGCUCGUGUUGUGAAAUGUUGGGUUAAGUCCCGCAACGAGCGCAACCCUUAUCCUUUGUUGCCAGCGGUUCGGCCGGGAACUCAAAGGAGACUGCCAGUGAUAAACUGGAGGAAGGUGGGGAUGACGUCAAGUCAUCAUGGCCCUUACGACCAGGGCUACACACGUGCUACAAUGGCAUAUACAAAGAGAAGCGACCUCGCGAGAGCAAGCGGACCUCAUAAAGUAUGUCGUAGUCCGGAUUGGAGUCUGCAACUCGACUCCAUGAAGUCGGAAUCGCUAGUAAUCGUAGAUCAGAAUGCUACGGUGAAUACGUUCCCGGGCCUUGUACACACCGCCCGUCACACCAUGGGAGUGGGUUGCAAAAGAAGUAGGUAGCUUAACCUUCGGGAGGGCGCUUACCACUUUGUGAUUCAUGACUGGGGUGAAGUCGUAACAAGGUAACCGUAGGGGAACCUGCGGUUGGAUCACCUCCUU
RNAcentral lists this ribosomal RNA (709 nucleotides) under Klebsiella pneumoniae. RNAcentral's name for it is "bacterial SSU rRNA". It matches the Rfam family "Bacterial small subunit ribosomal RNA", at positions 823 to 1532 of the family's 1533-position model. Lineage: Bacteria; Pseudomonadati; Pseudomonadota; Gammaproteobacteria; Enterobacterales; Enterobacteriaceae. The record is from RNAcentral.